AUACGGAGGGUGCAAGCGUUGUCCGGAUUUAUUGGGUUUAAAGGGUGUGUAGGCGGUGUAUUAAGUCAGUGGUGAAAGCCUGCGGCUCAACCGUAGAACUGCCAUUGAUACUGACACACUUGAGUAUGGACGAGGUAGGCGGAAUUUAUGGUGUAGCGGUGAAAUGCAUAGAUACCAUAAAGAACACCGAUAGCGAAGGCAGCUUACUAGGCCAUAUCUGACGCUGAGGCACGAAAGCGUGGGGAGCGAACAGGAUUAGAAACCCCAGUAGUCC
This 274-nucleotide ribosomal RNA is filed under the name uncultured bacterium. RNAcentral describes it as "partial 16S ribosomal RNA". It matches the Rfam family "Bacterial small subunit ribosomal RNA", at positions 523 to 796 of the family's 1533-position model. The record is from RNAcentral.